Molecule: long non-coding RNA, 3935 nt
Organism: Mytilus californianus (California mussel)
Lineage: Eukaryota; Metazoa; Mollusca; Bivalvia; Mytilida; Mytilidae
Exons: 3
Source: RefSeq, a predicted model, not a curated record
UUGAAAGUUCCUUUAAGCCUACUUCUGCAAACGUUUCUGAUGUACAAAGGUCUGGUGAGAUGUUGAUGAACAAUAAAACAUUCGAAGAAAUAGUCGUGGUGAAUAUUGUUCUUUUUGGAGUGUGCAUUUUAUUUAUACUUAUGAUCAUCUUCAGAAAGCGAUUUAAUCUACAAUUAUGUCCAAGAGCAAACCAGAAAUCUCGACGGAAUACAAUAACGAGAAAUCCAUUUGAACUAACAGACGGAAAUAACACAGGGAACAAUACAGUGCCUCAAAAUGAAAACAAUUUAGUGCGUGCCAGCUAUACUGAGCCUUGGGAACUACGUCAUAAUAUUGUUCAUAUGGAUGAACUUUACCAGCAGGAUAUCAUAGAUGUUCAAACAGAGGAAACGGAAACUUGAACCUUUUGGACUUACAUAAUUAGUAAAUUGCAGCUGCUACCCAGACUUUAUAAAACGUCAUCAGUGUUUCAGCAAAAAGUUGAUGAACAAGGGUUUUGUCAAAGAACGUCUCGUCCUUUUACUACAAAAAAAUCUUCAGACCUUGUUGAUAAAUAUUCCGUAUCAACUUCACAAAUAAUACAUGAUGGUCUUGAAGUAUAGAUUCCAUGUACUGACGUUGUUUAUCAUCUUAAUUAUGUGUUUUAGUGUUCUUUUAUUUUUCUUUGUAAAUUAUUAACCUUUUUGUUUGGUCAAUUUUUUUUAAUAUCCUUUUGGCGUGGCUCAUUACUUAUGCAUCCCGCCAAUGUGUUGUUGUGCUGUGGUCAUUUUUUGUAUUCUUGUCUUUCAUUUUUGCUUAUGUACUUUGUCAAUUUGCCAUUUUGUUUUUCUUUGUUGACAUAUUUGUUUGUUCAUAUAGUGAUUAAGAUUAUAACACAAUGUUGACUGCUGUACCUCUAUUUUUGACAUUUUUACCUAUUAUGUCUGUUUCUUUUCUUCACACAUUGUUGUCAAUAUAAUGGAAUUUUUUGCGACUGUCAUACAAGUGAGAGGUUUAGCUAGCUAUAAAACCAGGUUUAAUCCACCAUUUUCUACACAAGGAAAUGUCUUUACCCAGUCAGGAAUAUGACGGUUGUUUCCAUUCGUUUGAUGUGUUUGAGCUUUUUAUUUUGCCAUUUGAUAAGGGACUUUCCGAUUUGAAUUUUCCUUGGAGUUCGGUUUUUUUGUUAUUUUACUUUUUAAUAAAAGAGAACUAUUCUGAUUGACGUCACGAACGGCAUUGGCAAUAGUUUUGGUAACGUCAACAGCUUCAUUUUGAAUUCGUCAUUAACAUGAACUUUACGGUACCUUACCAUUCAUGUUUAUUUUUAAAAAUGUAAGUUAUUCAAGCAGCAAAAUGUGAUAGAUCAAGAAAACAUGUUCAUGGUCUUGCAAAGCCGUGUCAAGAAAGUUGUUUGCCAUGUCUACGUUAUAUUUGAUUUUCGGUCUUUGCGUCCGUUCGUCCAUACGUCUGUCCAAUUUCAGUUUUACAUGUUACGGUUUUGGGUUAGGGUAGUUUAUCAUGAAGUUGUGAUCACAUCAAUUUGAAACUUAAAACACAUGUGAAUUAUGAUGUGCAUUUCGACGAAUAUAUUGCAAAUUAUGGUUUUUACUCAGAUUUCACGGUUAAUUGAACAUUGAAAUGUGUAAUUGCUAGAGGGACAGGGUGUCACAGGGACACAUAAUCUUUUCAUUUUUUGGGUUUAAUAUUAAAGCAGUGUGUUGAAGUAUGUUAUUUUAUUUUGCACUUAUGUAAUUACUACUGUGAAGAGUAGAAGGGUUUCAUCGGACUUUCCUGUCUCGUUUAGUAGAACUUUUUAAAUCUUAGUUCUAAUUUCUUUUAUUUCUGAAAUUUGAUUUUCUUAACAUGCCAUCAUGCUGAAUUAAUUUUGCCGAUUACACAUUGUUUCAAAGAAUUACAUGACAUAUCAUAUACGAAUUACUUAAUUUUGAAAGUGGUGCAAACUUUCCAAUAAUAAAAUAAAGUACAUGAUACUUAUUUCCAAAAUAUAUAUUCUAUUGCUAUAUUGUAGGUACAUGUACACUUUCUUUCAUUCUGUAUGUAUUUUUACCUCCAAAUGUAUUCUUGUAGUGUUAUUAUGUUGUUGUGAGUUUUUUUUAUUAGGGCAUACCCUCAUAUCACUAUAUUAAACUGUUUCAGUAGCUUAUAAUAAUAUAUCUAGUAAAAAUGACAAAAUAAUAAAUUGAUAUGUUAUGCUACACUUCAGGUUUAGUUAAUUAACUUGUGCCGCUGGAUAAUCUUCCUAAUAGCGUGCUCGCAUAGAGUGUGGUGGAUAGUUGUUUAAUACUCGGAUGCGUUAAGAAAAGUUGAAAGUUGCUGCUGCGUUGCUACUUUCUCAGUAUUUACGAGUUAGAUCAAAGACAAGUCGGCUCGGAGUUAGAAUACUGUGACAUGUCUUUAUGUGGAAUUUCGCCUUAUUAAAUUAGCUAGCACGUUAAUUCCUACUUAAUGUGUCAGUGUACAAUGACGUAAUUCGGUUUGAGGUACGUUUAAAUGAAGUGACGUAGGAGAAAAGUCUUUUGGUCGAGUAAAUGUACUUUAUUUGGCCUUUUUAACUUUUUUUGAUUCGAGUGUCACUGAUGAGUCUUUUGUAGACGAAACGCGCGUCUGGCGCAAAUACAAAAUUUCAAUCCUGGUUUCUAUUUACUGGUCCGUUGAGAGUAAUUUCUAAACAUGUGUUACACAUUUUGUAGAUUGUAUUAACUUUAGCUAGUUUUAUCGUUUUUGAAAAUAAUUUUGACUUCCUAGAAAAAUGAUUCAGCAUAACAAAUAGGUCAAUGAUAAACUCAUGAGUCAAAUGUGGGUUAUCUCUUGAUAAAACUGAAAUGAUCCACGAGAAAUUUUCAAAUCUUCUUCACUGUCUUUAAGAAAAUUCAAGAUAAGAAUGCAAGGAGCGAAAAUUAACAGAGAAAGUUGUAUAAACAAAAUGACAAGAGCGCUAUGAACCGAAAUUGCUGUCUUUUUAAUAUAUAUCCCAGACAAUGAACACAAAUAGCUAAAAUCUUGAUCAAUUAUACAAAUUAACUGUGCGUUGAUGGGUAAUAUACAUAUAAUUCAGUCCGUUGGCAGUUUGUAACCAUCAAACUUAAGUAAAUUUAAUAUGCCAUUUUCUGUUUUUCUCUUGAGUGAAGUGAUUAAAUCAGUAAAUAUUAAAGGAAGAACAUAUAUAAACAGCAAUGCAUACUCUGUUAGAAUAUUUAUUACAUCGAUGGUAUUUGUAUCGUUUGUUGUCUGUAUUAGUAUAUAUAACUCUUCGUAUAAUUCAUAAAAAUCACUGACGCCGUGUACACGAGCCUUGUUUCUAAUCGUUUUAACCUUUUUUCAGACAUGAUUAAGUACAUGUAAGUACACGUGUUGCAGUUAUCGAGCAAAAUGCAAUGUAUAUCCGCAUUAUAACUCUUUUUAAAUUAAGUUCAUAAUCUAAUAAAAGUAUACAAUUAGUUUAUUUUAUAAUAUGAACAAAUGGUCAUAGAACUAAAAUCAAAAGACUGUGCAUAACUUCCCUUUCAAAACGUUGCACGUGUUCAACUAAGACUUUAUUUCAAUGAUUUUGAAAAUUACUUGUUAAGUACCAAAACUAUUUUGUGUAUUAUUACAAACAAUUUCCUGCAUAAGGUAAUCAGACAAGUACGAGACAGAAGAUAUUUCAAAUCAACCAAAUUAUUUUUUUCUUGUUUUGACCAGUCUAUGUAGCCCUUAUGAAUAAAGAUGAGUGAUAAACAAAUGCAUGAACGUAUUUUAGUAGUAGUUUACAUAACUGUUCAUUACUUGUCAUGUUGUAUAGAUUGAUGUUCCUUACUUGACAUGUUGUAUAGAUUGAUGUUCAUUACUUCUCAUGUUGUAUAGAUUGAUGUUCCUUACUUGACAUGUUGUAUAGGUAAUUGUUCAUAAUUAUAUGUCUUUAUAUAUAAAUACAUGUUCAUCUGGUGGUCCAU